RNAcentral lists this ribosomal RNA (520 nucleotides) under uncultured bacterium. Its description in RNAcentral is "partial 16S ribosomal RNA". It matches the Rfam family "Bacterial small subunit ribosomal RNA", at positions 28 to 523 of the family's 1533-position model. The record is from RNAcentral.
GACGAACGCUGGCGGCGUGCUUAACACAUGCAAGUCGAACGGAGAAUUUUAUUUCGGUGAAAUUCUUAGUGGCGAACGGGUGAGUAACGCGUAGACAACCUACCUCUCAGAUGGGGACAACAUCGCGAAAGCGGUGCUAAUACCGAAUGAUGUAACUUUUCUGCAUGGAAGAGUUACCUAAGGCGGCCUCUAUUUAUAAGCUGUCACUGAGAGAUGGGUCUGCGUCUGAUUAGCUAGUUGGCGGGGUAAUGGCCCACCAAGGCGACGAUCAGUAGCCGGUCUGAGAGGAUGAACGGCCACAUUGGGACUGAGACACGGCCCAAACUCCUACGGGAGGCAGCAGUGGGGAAUCUUCCGCAAUGGACGAAAGUCUGACGGAGCAACGCCGCGUGAGUGAAGGAGGUUUUCGGAUCGUAAAGCUCUGUUGUUUGAGACGAACGUGCAAUUUUUGAAUAAGGAAUUGUAAUGACGGUAUUAAACGAGAAAGCCACGGCUAACUACGUGCCAGCCGCCGCAGUAA